CCUACGGGCGGCAGCAGUGGGGAAUAUUGGACAAUGGGCGAAAGCCUGAUCCAGCCAUGCCGCGUGUGUGAAGAAGGCCUUCGGGUUGUAAAGCACUUUCAGUGGGGAAGAAAGCCUUGGGGCUAAUACCCUCGAGGAAGGACAUCACCCACAGAAGAAGCACCGGCUAACUCCGUGCCAGCAGCCGCGGUAAUACGGAGGGUGCGAGCGUUAAUCGGAAUUACUGGGCGUAAAGCGCGCGUAGGCGGUCUGAUAAGCCGGUUGUGAAAGCCCCGGGGUCAACCUGGGAACGGCAUCCGGAACUGUCAGGCUAGAGUGCAGGAGAGGAAGGUAGAAUUCCCGGUGUAGCGGUGAAAUGCGUAGAGAUCGGGAGGAAUACCAGUGGCGAAGGCGGCCUUCUGGACUGACACUGACGCUGAGGUGCGAAAGCGUGGGUAGCAAACAGGAUUACAUACCCGAGUAGUC
Molecule: ribosomal RNA, 465 nt
Filed under: Vreelandella stevensii
Lineage: Bacteria; Pseudomonadati; Pseudomonadota; Gammaproteobacteria; Oceanospirillales; Halomonadaceae
Description: partial 16S ribosomal RNA
Rfam family: Bacterial small subunit ribosomal RNA
Source: RNAcentral